CCUACGGGAGGCAGCAGUGGGGAAUUUUGGACAAUGGGCGAAAGCCUGAUCCAGCCAUACCGCGUGCGGGAAGAAGGCCUUCGGGUUGUAAACCGCUUUUGUCAGGGAAGAAAUGCUCCGGGUUAAUACCCUGGGGUGAUGACGGUACCUGAAGAAUAAGCACCGGCUAACUACGUGCCAGCAGCCGCGGUAAUACGUAGGGUGCAAGCGUUAAUCGGAAUUACUGGGCGUAAAGCGUGCGCAGGCGGUUCUAUAAGACAGAUGUGAAAUCCCCGGGCUCAACCUGGGAACUGCAUUUGUGACUGUAGAGCUAGAGUACGGUAGAGGGGGAUGGAAUUCCGCGUGUAGCAGUGAAAUGCGUAGAUAUGCGGAGGAACACCGAUGGCGAAGGCAAUCCCCUGGACCUGUACUGACGCUCAUGCACGAAAGCGUGGGGAGCAAACAGGAUUAGAUACCCUGGUAGUCCACGCCCUAAACGAUGUCAACUGGUUGUUGGGAGGGUUUCUUCUCAGUAACGAAGCUAACGCGUGAAGUUGACCGCCUGGGGAGUACGGCCGCAAGGUUGAAACUCAAAGGAUUGACGG
This 584-nucleotide ribosomal RNA is filed under the name uncultured bacterium. Its description in RNAcentral is "bacterial SSU rRNA". It matches the Rfam family "Bacterial small subunit ribosomal RNA", at positions 338 to 916 of the family's 1533-position model. The record is from RNAcentral.